RNAcentral lists this long non-coding RNA (2337 nucleotides) under Setaria viridis. RNAcentral's name for it is "long non-coding RNA (SVIR_LNC009964)". Lineage: Eukaryota; Viridiplantae; Streptophyta; Magnoliopsida; Poales; Poaceae. The record is from RNAcentral.
UAACCAACUACGACACAGGACGCUAGAGUCCGCCGCAGCGGCUACAACAAAAAAAGAAAGGGACAGUACUACAUAGAUGAUAACAUCCCAGAUAUGGGGUCAGGGCGCGCCCGUCUAGCACUUGAUCUCCUUCAGCCCGUGCGCGAAGUAGAGGAAGGUUGGGUCGGUGGCUCCAUCCUUGUAGUAGGCGAACACCAGGCUUCCAUCAUCAUGCAUGCUCUCGCCAACAAAGCUGCAAAAAACCAGACAAACAUUUAGUACGAGCUAUUCACGGAAUUUAGUUGUGAAGCAAAAUGACAGAAAGCAGCAGUACAAAAAUCAGUAAUAGAACAAUAAUGCAGACAGCACAACCUAUCAUUCUAGCUCGAGCAACACGAAUUUAAACACAAUGGCGAAUAAGAACAUAGAAAGCAAACAUCAAAAAUGGAUGCCACACUGCAAAAGAAUAUAGGUACUUACAACUAAUAUAACAUAUUUUUAAUUAACCCAGAGCAGUACAAAAAUUAUUUUUGCACAAGAGUGUAUGAAAAUAUAUUAUAAUUCAAGCUCCAUGCAGAAUCAUAGGUGAGAAUUCAACGAUAGCACAAGCAACUUGAAUCCAAGUAAUAACAAAAGAAAAUUGCACAAGCAACGUGAAUCUAAGUAACAAAAGAAAACUAUGUGAUUAAAUCCACCGAGGUACAGUUUUCAUGAACAGCUACCAGAAUGGUACUUCAGAGAGAAUCACUAGACACUAGAUAUCAAAUAUAUAGCAUGAUUCGGGUAUAGAACUUACAACUGGAGGUCCUUGAGCUUUCCAAGAAGGUACUUGGUGGCACCCUCAAUGCCCUUCUUGAAUUCCGCUUGCUGCUCCGGCUCCAGCUUGGCAGUAAGGUUCUUGAUGUAGCGCUUCAUGAAGGUCACAAACUGCUUCUUGUCAAAGGCAGGUUGCUCCUGCAAAUGUGAUUACAUGGUUAGUACAAACUCAAAGAACAGAAAUAUAACCAGGGCAACAGAACUCCAGAUGAGUUAGCAACCUGAAGACGGAAGGUGUCAACAAUGUCAACAACCUUCACCGCCUGAUCAUCAACACCCUCAUCAUCGCCACCACCCUCGGCAGACGGGUUGGCACCAAUGUCAACAUCUACAGCUCCUUGGACGACCCACUGCGAGCACCCAUCCAGUAUCAUGAUGUAAGUAACAAAUCAAACAAACCAAAACACAGUAAACAUAAUGCAGAAAGCAAAACAAUCUGGGCAGCAUUACUAAUGCAGAUUCAUCCAGAUUGACAACCGUUUGUAAAAUUAGAGCAUCCAGAAUAAGCAGCAGCCCAUAAGGUUUCAACAAUACCAAGCUUACGGGGCGCUCUAAAGCAACCAACACAAGAUCCCUAGCUGCUAAGAGUAUCGGACUACAAGUUUAAAUUUGCCAACAUGUUGUGCCACAGCAAGCAACUAGGAUGCUGCAGAGUUGCCCAGAUCCUAGUACAAAACCAAAAGGUCAUAGGAUAAUAACUCAAACAAGGUACUGCAACAACCAAUUCUGAAUGAGCGCAUCAGAAACAAAAAAAAAUCAAUCUGAUUGAUGAAUUAGCUGCUCCCUCAAGAAACUAGGAGGACCAUAGAACACAUAAUUCACCUAUUCUAAACGAUCGAUUUGCUGUCCCCACAAACUAAACUGCUGCAGCAUCAAACAAUACGGAUCUAAUGGAGCAUCAAACUAAACAAGCUAUACUGCCGCAUCGAAUAAUCCGGAUCUAAAGCUCAGAGCAAAAAACGAAUUCAGCAAGGUGAGUUUGAUAAAGCUAAAAUCUUGUCUACUGCUGGCCGAUGGAUGCCACAGGGCAGCGGGCGUACCCUGCCGUCGACCUCCCAGAGGAUGCCGUUCUCGAUCUCCCUGUACGGGAACGAGUCCGAGAGGAGCUCGUCGCCUGCAAACAACACCGCAAACGGAUCGAUUAGCCAAUAUACUCGCGGGAAAUCACAACACAAUUCAGUAAAAAAAAAACAGAUGCGGAAACAAAUCCACGCGCAGAUCCACCCAUCCGAGCCCCCCAAAAACGCAAUCUUUCACCCGCGAUUUCGAAUCGGGCAACGGAAGCCGGAGCCUUCAGCUCUCCCUCGGCCGGGCAGAUCUAACCGUGGCGACUCCAAAAAUCCUACUCCCCAAGCCCAAAAACCCACCCCAACCAAAGGACGGAAAAAAAUUCUCAGCAGGGACAUGGGCAUGGUCUUGCACGCACCGGUGAGCAGAUCCUGGUAGACCAACAUGGCGCCGCCUCUCGUGGAGAGAACCCUAGCCUGCGCGAGCAAGGAGACGAGAGCGGGGAGCGGCGGGCGGAGACGAUGGGGCGCGAGG